GGGGAUGUAGCUCAGUGGUAAAGUGCUUGUCUAAUAUGUAGGAGGCCCUGGGUUCAAUCCCCAAUACCCG
Molecule: transfer RNA, 70 nt
Filed under: Heterocephalus glaber (naked mole-rat)
Lineage: Eukaryota; Metazoa; Chordata; Mammalia; Rodentia; Bathyergidae
Rfam family: tRNA
About the family: Transfer RNA (tRNA) molecules are approximately 80 nucleotides in length.
Source: Rfam by way of RNAcentral